Molecule: ribosomal RNA, 201 nt
Filed under: uncultured bacterium
Lineage: Bacteria
Description: partial 16S ribosomal RNA
Source: RNAcentral
GAUAAACGCUGGCGGCGUGCCUAAUACAUGCAAGUCGAGCGGUAAGGUUCUGCACUUAGUAUUUGACCCCUGAAAGUCCGGCCUCCCUGCAAGGAAGCCGGAUACUACAGAGAGGAAACGAAUCUCUAGGCUAGAGAUCAUAGUCGAAUGUUGAGUGUAGAAUACACGAGCGGCGGACGGCUGAGUAACACGUAGGAACGU